AUACGGAGGGUGCGAGCGUUAAUCGGAAUUACUGGGCGUAAAGCGCGCGUAGGCGGCUUAUUAAGUCAGAUGUGAAAUCCCCGGGCUCAACCUGGGAACUGCAUCUGAUACUGGUAAGCUAGAGUUUUGGAGAGGGAAGUAGAAUUUCAGGUGUAGCGGUGAAAUGCAUAGAGAUCUGAAGGAAUACCAGUGGCGAAGGCGACGUCCUGGCCAAAAACUGACGCUGAGGUGCGAAAGCGUGGGUAGCAAACGGGAUUAGAAACCCUAGUAGUCC
Molecule: ribosomal RNA, 274 nt
Filed under: uncultured bacterium
Lineage: Bacteria
Description: partial 16S ribosomal RNA
Rfam family: Bacterial small subunit ribosomal RNA
Source: RNAcentral